This 460-nucleotide ribosomal RNA is filed under the name uncultured bacterium. RNAcentral's name for it is "partial 16S ribosomal RNA". It matches the Rfam family "Bacterial small subunit ribosomal RNA", at positions 338 to 795 of the family's 1533-position model. The record is from RNAcentral.
CCUACGGGUGGCAGCAGUGAGGAAUAUUGGUCAAUGUGCGCAAGACUGAACCAGCCAAGUAGCGUGCAGGAUGACGGCCCUAUGGGUUGUAAACUGCUUUUGUACGGGGAUAAAAUGCUUCACUUGUGAUGUUUUGUAGGUACCGCAUGAAUAAGGGCCGGCUAAUUCCGUGCCAGCAGCCGCGGUAAUACGGAAGGCCCGGGCGUUAUCCGGAUUUAUUGGGGUGAAAGGGAGCGGAGGCCGGCUGUUAAGCGUGGCGUGAAAUGCCCGCGCCCAACCCUGGCACGGCGGUGGAAACUGGAUGGCUUGAGUGCGCAACAGGCAGGCGGAAUUCGUGGUGUAGCGGUGAAAUGCAUAGAUAGCACGAGGAACCCCGAUUGCGAAGGCAGCAUGCGGCAGUGCUACUGACGCUGAAGCUCGAAGGUGCGGGUAUCGAACAGGAUUAGAUACCCUAGUAGUC